AAACCCAUUUUUACGUAGAAGCAAUCUCUCUCUCUCAUCCUAUAAACACUCGAGAAAAAUACUUUCAACAAACCAUAUUCAUGAACAACCAACAACUAAAAAGCUAAAAAAUUACCUGAAGAAUAUCAAAAUGUUGACAACAUUCAAAUCGAUAAGAGACCGGACAUAUUCAGGUGUAGGAGACCUCAUCAGGCUCCUCCCGACAGGAACAGUCUUCUUGUUCCAGUUCUUGAACCCUGUCCUAACCAACAAUGGACAUUGCCUCCUAAUCAACAAAUACUUAACCGGAGCUCUUAUCGUUAUCUGCGCCUUCUCUUGCUGCUUCACUUGCUUCACCGAUAGUUACCGAACAAGGGACGGCUACGUUCACUAUGGAGUCGCCACCAUGAAGGGUCUCUGGCCAGAUUCAUCUUCGAAAGAUUUGUCUUCGUAUCGGCUUAGAGUUGGAGAUUUCGUUCAUGCUUUCUUUACUCUUAUUGUUUUCAGUGUUAUUUCGUUGUUGGAUGCUAAUACUGUUAACUGUUUCUAUCCUGGCUUCGGUUCCACCGGGAAGAUUUUUCUAAUGGUUUUGCCUCCGGUGAUUGGAGUUAUCUCCGGCAUCAUCUUCACCGUGUUCCCUAGUAAACGUCACGGAAUUGGGAAUCCCUCGGAGAACAACGAUGACAAGGCUUCCGAGCUAGAGAAGUGAUAUGAUUUCCACUAUUAUAUAUAUGCAUAAUAAAAUGAAAUGAUCAAUAUUAAGAUUGUGUAAGUUAUACAUGAAUGGUCACUGUAAUGUUUUGUUUAUUUAUUUUCUUGUGAUUUGUUAUUUAUGUUUGUGAGUGCUGAAUUAUAUGUUCAUAUGUUUAUUUAUGUUUGUUUGUGAUCAUAUGUUCUGUGUUUUCUUAACGAUUUUUUUGUUUCAAUUUUUUGUUGAUGAAACUCAAAAGUAAUAACAUAUCUUACAGUGUUAAUCUUUUUAUUCUAUUAGUGAACAAGCAUCAUUUAAUUAACAGAUGUUUCGGAUUUAGAAGACAUGCAUAUGCAUGCACACAAUUCCAAAACAUCCUUAUAUUUUAAAAGAAGGCAGUAUAGGGAAAAAAUUUGUGGUUGAUUAGAAUAUGUCUAAAGGAAUGGCAAUGGAGUAGAACCACGAUAAAGAGUGAAUUUUAAUAUUUUGAAGUUUAAUAUCCUUUAAGUCAUUCAUUCUAAUUAUUUUUAUCUAUUAAUCUGUAGUAGAUUUAUAUGAAACAUGGAUGGUGGAUGUCGUGAACUAAAAAGCUAGUCUAACAGAUUAAUUAAAAAUAAGACUAGUUUAACAGACGUCAUUCUAUUAAUAAAACAUGAGGUGGUCUGAGUCAAAAAAGUCAUUCUAUUACUGAAACUUGAGGUGGUCUAAGUAACCAAACCGGAAUAGAACAAUCAAUAAAAUGUAACUCCCUAUGGAAAGAUCUCGCAGGUUUUGCUAAAAAGUCUGAAAUUUGAUUGCGCGCUCGUGGAACGUGAAUGAUGUUGAAAUCCGGGAAGCAUAUCUGUAGCGUCUCUAUCCUCUCCAAUUCUGUCGUAAAACUUAGCCAAGCAUGAAGUUUCUUUAUUAUUGCAAUCAGCUCCUUACAGUUUGUCCCAAAAGUUUGGCAUGGUGAAUGUUAAAGCAUGUUCUCUAUUGCCCACCGCAGUGUUUCUACUUCCGAAUAAAAGGCUGAUUCGCGUCGAGUGAAGUUUCUUGUUCCCAUAAGUUGAAUAUUCCCCUCCCCCCUCCCCACUGUCCAUCCAGUCCCAUCCACAACUAUUAAAGUGAGCAGAGGCUGUCCAAGACCCAUCUAACAAGCAAAUAUUACCCAAACCUAUGACUUGGGGUUCUUUAGUAUUGUUAUCUUGUACCACUGGUUGUACCACUUGGUUUGUAACAAACCAUGCUUUGCAUUUGCUUUCUACAUGUCGAACUAGCUCCAAAGGAUCUCUGUCUAUCCCCCUGAAAAGUUUGUCAUUCUUAGCGUUCCAAAUAUACCAGAUUAUCCAGUGAUAAAGAUCCUUGUCUUGUUCUGGCUCGAUAAUGAUGUUUUUCCUCCAUAAUAGGUAUUUCAUAUUUGUGUAGACGUUUGGUAUUGGAAAUAUAUCUGGACUUAUUGGAAUUCAUGAUAGGGACCAAACUUGUAAAGCUGGCGGACAUUCGAAAAUGGCAUGGGUUACGGAUUCUUCUAGUUCUCCACAUCUUGGGCAUUAGUUAUCACACCUCAUAUUGCGUCUUGCUAAGUUUCUCGUUACUGCUACAUUACCAGUUAACAAUUACUAUAUAAAAUGACAUAUCUUCUUAGACACCUUUAACUUUCAAGCAAAUGUUUGAAGCUUCGUGAUACCCGGCUCCAAUACUUCCUUUCCAUCAUGUCUUUAAUAAAUUCUGAGCCACCCAAUAUCCAGAUUUAACCGUAUAUGGACCAUUCUUUGUGUAGUUUCAACAGAAUGUAUCAUGACGGUGAGUUGAGCUUAUGGCCAAACUUCAUAUGAGUGGUAUGUCAUCAAGAUUGACAUAGUUCUCCAAAGACCAACAUCCCAAUCCUUCGAUACCUGGUUAAUGAGAUCGAUGACUCUCAUAUUAGAAUGCAUAACUGGUGCUACAUGAAUAGCUUGUCUCGCAUGGGUCGUUGGAAUUCAUGGAUCCUCUCGCACCUUGAAUUAUGCUUCUUAUAUAUCAAUAAAAUGCAUCUCUUAGAGUUUAAAUGAAUACUUUAAUAGAAGUUUUUUACGACAGAGUUGGAUUUAUAUAACUUAGCAUACAAUAUAAAAUAAAUCAAGAUAAAUUAAUUACAUAUACAUUUUGGCCCACACUGCCACACAUACUCGUUUUUGACUAGACGAUAUGCGUGACAUCAAUUGGAAUGGAGCAAUAAAGUUACUUCACGCUUUAUAUAUCUAAAUGGGACACCCUAAUCCUUAAAGCCACGUUUUCUAGUAGUAGCCGAAAAUACUAAAAAGGGAAACAAAAGCAAAAAUUAAUUAUAAUUAGAGACCCCCACUAUUUGAAAAGGUUCUUUCAAAAGAGUACAAGCAACACCAAACCCAUUUUUACGUAGAAGCAAUCUCUCUCUCUCAUCCUAUAAACACUCGAGAAAAAUACUUUCAACAAACCAUAUUCAUGAACAACCAACAACUAAAAAGCUAAAAAAUUACCUGAAGAAUAUCAAAAUGUUGACAACAUUCAAAUCGAUAAGAGACCGGACAUAUUCAGGUGUAGGAGACCUCAUCAGGCUCCUCCCGACAGGAACAGUCUUCUUGUUCCAGUUCUUGAACCCUGUCCUAACCAACAAUGGACAUUGCCUCCUAAUCAACAAAUACUUAACCGGAGCUCUUAUCGUUAUCUGCGC
Molecule: long non-coding RNA, 3341 nt
Filed under: Brassica napus (rape)
Lineage: Eukaryota; Viridiplantae; Streptophyta; Magnoliopsida; Brassicales; Brassicaceae
Description: long non-coding RNA (BNAP_LNC000706)
Source: RNAcentral